Molecule: small RNA, 85 nt
Filed under: Streptomyces lydicus
Lineage: Bacteria; Bacillati; Actinomycetota; Actinomycetes; Kitasatosporales; Streptomycetaceae
Description: nrdJ RNA
Rfam family: nrdJ RNA
Source: Rfam by way of RNAcentral
ACCUGUACCGGGGCGAGAGCAGGGCGCCUCGGUAGCAGAAAGAACAAACACCGUGCCACGGAAUGAGUGCGCACAUAUGGGCGUU